AGUUUAUAUUGUACUUGUGCUAAGUGUGUUACGAAUUCGUUUCUUCUUCUUCUUCUUAAUUACUGCUCCUUGGCCUGUCUUUAUCUUUUUUAUGUUAUCAUUUGUUAGGGUUUACAGAUUAAAGAGUUAGCGUUCAAAUUGGUAGGCACGGUGGCAGAUGCAAACCCUAACUGGGGCUGCAGGGCAGAAAUAUGGUUUGGGAUGAACUCUUGGACCAAGGAUUUAUCUUUGCUAUGUUAGCAUUUUGUUAGGCUUUACAGAUUAAAGAGUUAGCAUUCAAAUGGUAGGCACGGUGGCAGAUGCAAACCCUAACUGGGGCUGUAGGGGCACAAAUCUGGUUUGGGAUGAAUUUUUGGACCAAUCGGGUUUUCGUAACUGGUCUGAAUUAUGCCGUACCGAUACACCGGGCUUACGUUGGUAUCACCGGGAAAAAUAAAUUACAUACUCAUUGGUAUGACCUAGAUGGUCCGGUGCUGGUUGUCGAUUGGACCAGAUAUCAGUUGGUACGUACUGGUCCAACCGGUCUUUGAUCCCUUAUUCUGAACUUGUAUAGGUGCUUGUUGUCAUUAUUAUCUGUGCUUCUAUAGGUGCACCCCUGUAAACAAGUUUGACUUGACGUAAGUAACCAAAAUAUCUUUGGUUUCGGAUAAUUAUAAAUCAGAUCAGAAGUUAUUCCAUGUAUCAACUCUUACAUAUCCAAAAUAUCUUCUCAUCUUGCCAUCUACUUCUACUGAUCUUACUAUUGCUGCUGAAUGUUAGUAAUUUGAAAUGGGUUGAUAAAUAUGCCAAGGUAGCUUUUUUUUUUAAUGUGCCUAUAACAUGUAAUCAAUUUUCUUAAAAUACAUUAUUAAAAAGUAUAAAAUUCACCUUUUUCUCAUUAGGAGCCAAGAAACCACAAUAAUCUCAGUUAAGUUUGAAAAUUCUAUAUUUUCUCUCUUGGGAGUUGGUUUCUUGUUUGUAGUUAGUCCCGUUGAUGAUGAUUGGUGGUUCUUCAUCAUUGUGAAUUUCCCGUUCUUUCAUCUAGAUAUUAGCAAAAAGCAGGGAGCUAAAGUCAGUUUCUUUCAGCCCCGAGCAAUCAUACAUCAAUUCAAUGAAUUUUUGUGUCAAAGAUGUUGAGGAUGACAACCUUGACAACAAUUGUCCAUCUCGGUCACAAAACAAAAUGACAUCUGGAAUAAGUGAUGAAGAUGGCAGCCACAAAGGGGACUAAGGAGCUCAUUACCUGGCACCGAGCAUGAGAGUGUGAACAAAAAAGGCCUGCAGUUAUAUGCAAUUUUUUUUGCUAGUGUUUGGUGCAUCAAGGAAAAUUCUUGUAAGUUUCUUCACGAGAAAGAUGGGGUUGGCUGCACUUGUCAAGUUGCCAAGGAAGAUUGGGCUACUAGUGGAGAUUUCAUUGAUUGCAAGGUAUCAGAAUAUCUUUCGCUGUGGAAUUUCGUCUUAAAGAUUAGUUGGAGGAAAACUUGCCAGUAGCAUCCACGUAAUUACCAGGUUCACCAGAAAAGUUUGAAAAAAUAAGUGUAUCUGCUUCACUUGGCUUGAUAGACUUAUCAAAUGUGGAGAAUUCAAGAAAAUCAAAUCUUCUUUUACAGAGGUCCCUUAUCCGGACCUGUGGUGGGGAGAUCCAUGGACUAGCUCAGUUUAGGAAUGAUGAUAACUUGCUUGCAUCAAAGAACUCUUCUAAAGAACAUUUUCAAGUUGAUGUUUCAUGCGGCAAUAGGACAUCUUAUUCUGCAGUUGAUAAGUCAAAGCAGAGGAUGUUGAUCCAAGAAGAAAACCAAAGAACUUAUGGGCUAAUACAUUGUCUUGAUUCUAUCAAUGGUAGUCACUCAGAUAGUAGUUAAUUUCUAUCAAGACAGUACUCAAAUGAAGGAAAUAUAUACAAAAAAAAUGACUGGUGUAGAGUUCAAGAACUUUGCCUUUCACAAAAUACCUGUUAUCUUCAGGAUCUAAUUAUUUCUCUGGUGGAUCAUCUGCAGCCCCCAAUGUCUAUAAGGAUAUCAACAACACCUAUUCUUUUGGAAAAAGUCCAGGUAACAGCAAAGUCAUUUUCCACUUGAUGAUUCCUAUAGUUCUGGUUUAACUAGUUCUGUCAGUUUUAGCUUUGACAAUUCUCUUCAUUCAUUUUGGAGUACACCACGAAUGGAAUUGCUUCAUUUAUUUUCUGAAGCAGGGAUAAUGUUAACUUAUGUCUCUCCACCAUUUGGUGCUGACCAUGGUGAUACCCAUGGAACAUCAAACGUUGGUUGAGGAUUUGGUGGUGCUACAUCUGGACAGCAAAAUAUUGCUGGGAAUACUUUUAACCUUUUCUGAGCAAAAACCAGAACUUGAAAAAAAUACUUGGGAGCCUUCUGUACCUUUUCAUCACCAGUGAUUAAAUCAUCCUCUGAAAGCCAAUAUGAUCCACUUGUUGACAGCAUUGGACCUCCCAAAGUGGGGAUUUUAACUUCAGUUUCUCCAAGAGUGAUUAUGAAAACUAUGUCAAGUCAACAUGUUCUUGGUGAUCAUAUACUAGGUUAUAUUGCUUCAGGGUAUAAUGUCAAGAAGUCUUUGAACUCUUCCGAUCCAGGAUAUGAAGGCAUGCUAGGUAAAUCAUGGCAUGAAUAUUGUGGCUAUUUUAAUGGAAUGGCUCCUCCUGAUCGUACAACUGUUGAUGAGGAAGGUCAGACAGACCUUAGUAGUAAUACAAAUCUUUCAUACUGCUUUGGUGGAUUUUGUGAAGGAAGAGUAGACAAAGGAGAAGACAAAGGAGAAUACAAAUCUUUCAUACAAAUCUUGACGAGGAAGAGUAGACAAAGGAGAAGACGUUAAGGAAUCAAAAGCAGUGAAAAUUUUUCAUACUGCUUUGGUGGAUUUUGUGAAGGAAUUGCUAAAGACAAUUUGGAAGGAGGGUCACUCGAGUAGGGAUGCUCAUAAAAUGAUAGUCAAGAAGGCAGCUGAAAAGGUUCUAAAUGCAUUGCAACCCCAUCAUGUCCCAAUUGAUAGAGUUGAUAAAGGAUCAUCUUUCGGCAUCCAAACCAAAUCUUUAAAAGGUUAUGGAGGGUUAUGUAAUCAAUCUCUGUAGGACUUCAGUUUUGCACACAAAUAUCUGCUCAUGGAUCUAACCUAAAUGUUUGGUGGGCCUACUUAAAACUACUUCGUAAAAAGUUCUCCAAGAUUAUUGGCAUGGUGCAAGCCUGUCACUGGAUAGCAUUUCUUCUGUUAGUGAUGGGGAGAUAUCAUCUUGGUUUUUGUUACAGCUGAGCCCAGAACAUGAACUACUCUCCGCAGCAGCAGCAGCAGCAGCUAACAGCAACUCGGGUUUGA
This is an RNA transcript of Musa acuminata AAA Group (dessert banana), 3303 nucleotides long. RefSeq lists it as uncharacterized. The record is from RefSeq and is a predicted model, not a curated record. Lineage: Eukaryota; Viridiplantae; Streptophyta; Magnoliopsida; Zingiberales; Musaceae. The transcript is spliced from 4 exons.